RNAcentral lists this ribosomal RNA (454 nucleotides) under Streptococcus mitis. RNAcentral's name for it is "bacterial SSU rRNA". It matches the Rfam family "Bacterial small subunit ribosomal RNA", at positions 28 to 469 of the family's 1533-position model. The record is from RNAcentral. Lineage: Bacteria; Bacillati; Bacillota; Bacilli; Lactobacillales; Streptococcaceae.
GACGAACGCUGGCGGCGUGCCUAAUACAUGCAAGUAGAACGCUGAAGGAGGAGCUUGCUUCUCCGGAUGAGUUGCGAACGGGUGAGUAACGCGUAGGUAACCUGCCUGGUAGCGGGGGAUAACUAUUGGAAACGAUAGCUAAUACCGCAUAACAGUAGAUGUUGCAUGACAUUUGCUUAAAAGGUGCAAUUGCAUCACUACCAGAUGGACCUGCGUUGUAUUAGCUAGUUGGUGGGGUAACGGCUCACCAAGGCGACGAUACAUAGCCGACCUGAGAGGGUGAUCGGCCACACUGGGACUGAGACACGGCCCAGACUCCUACGGGAGGCAGCAGUAGGGAAUCUUCGGCAAUGGACGGAAGUCUGACCGAGCAACGCCGCGUGAGUGAAGAAGGUUUUCGGAUCGUAAAGCUCUGUUGUAAGAGAAGAACGAGUGUGAGAGUGGAAAGUCACAC